Molecule: ribosomal RNA, 119 nt
Filed under: Pteropus alecto (black flying fox)
Lineage: Eukaryota; Metazoa; Chordata; Mammalia; Chiroptera; Pteropodidae
Source: RNAcentral
AUCUACGGUCAUGUCACCCUGAAUAAGCCUGAUCCCAUCUGAUCUCGGAAGCUAAGCAGGGUUAGGCUUAGUUAGUACUUGGAUGGGAGACCACCUAGGCAGACCAGGUGUUGUAGGCA